UCAACCCUAGCAGUACGCAAAGAUUUCCUGA
RNAcentral lists this non-coding RNA (31 nucleotides) under Mus musculus (house mouse). The record is from RNAcentral. Lineage: Eukaryota; Metazoa; Chordata; Mammalia; Rodentia; Muridae.